GAGCUGCACUCCGCUGGGCUCUUGGCAGCACCCUGUGCUCUGAGGGUGUCUUGCCCGCCGGGCGCCGUGGCUCACGCCUGUAAUCCCAACACUUUGGGAGGCUGAGGCGGGCGGAUCACUUGAGGUCAAGAGUUCAAGACCAGCCUGGCCAACAUGGUGAAAGCCCAUCUCUACUAAAAAUACAAAAAUUAGCCAGGUGUGGUGGCGGGUGCCUGUAGUCCCAGCUAUUUGGGAGGCUGAGGCAGGAGAAUCGCUUGAACCCAGGAGGUGGAGGUUGCAGUACGAUUCUACUCUAAAAGUCACCAGGAAAAAUUCAGCUCCACUGGUCCUGGCUCUAAGUCUACUAGCAAAAUCUUCCAGAGAAGUGGAAAAGCCAUCAGCCAAUGUGUUAGACUAUCAUUUCCAUGACCUUACACCUAUCAAAAAGGCACUAUUACCAGGCUUAUAGAAUUCUAAAAAAGUUGGAAACCAUUUUCCAUUAUAAAAGAAAUUCUUCCAAAUCACACAAAACACUCUGACACUUCUCCAAUUCCCCCUAUCAUGGGGCUGGCAGCAGCCGCUUUGCGUCCUGAAUGUCAUGACAGUGAUGAUAACAGUAAUGAUGAUAACAGCAAUGAUGAAGUCUCACAUUUAAAAUUUUCAAGUCACUCAUCACAUCCCAAGUCACUCC
RNAcentral lists this long non-coding RNA (670 nucleotides) under Homo sapiens (human). RNAcentral's name for it is "non-protein coding RGPD4-AS1:3". The record is from RNAcentral. Lineage: Eukaryota; Metazoa; Chordata; Mammalia; Primates; Hominidae.